UGAGGAAUAUUGGGCAAUGGAGGCAACUCUGACCCAGCCAUGCCGCGUGCAGGAAGACGGCCCUAUGGGUUGUAAACUGCUUUUAUACGGGAAGAAACACCCCCUCGUGAGGGGGCUUGACGGUACCGUAAGAAUAAGCACCGGCUAACUCCGUGC
This 156-nucleotide ribosomal RNA is filed under the name uncultured Cytophagales bacterium. Its description in RNAcentral is "partial 16S ribosomal RNA". It matches the Rfam family "Bacterial small subunit ribosomal RNA", at positions 355 to 508 of the family's 1533-position model. Lineage: Bacteria; Pseudomonadati; Bacteroidota; Sphingobacteriia; Sphingobacteriales. The record is from RNAcentral.